This is a non-coding RNA of Onychomys torridus (southern grasshopper mouse), 414 nucleotides long. The record is from the annotation of a RefSeq genome assembly. NCBI's taxonomy places the organism in Eukaryota, Metazoa, Chordata, Mammalia, Rodentia, Cricetidae.
AUGGGGUCAGCUGCUCUCUUUCUGUGGGUACUGCUGCUUUGGGUUCCAGGUUCUACUGGAGACAUUGUGCUGAAGCAGUCUUCAGCUUCACUGACUGUGUCUCUCAGGCAGAGGGCCACCAUCUCCUGCAGGACCAGCGAAAGUGUCAGUGCAGGAAGUAUGCAUCUUAUGCACUGGUAUAAACAGAAAACAGGACAGCCCCCUAAACUCCUCAUCUAUGAAGCAUCUAUUCUAGCAUCUGGGGUCCCUGCCAGGUUCAGUGGCAGUGGGUCUGGGACAGACUUAACCCUCACCAUCCAUCCUGUGGAGGCUGAUGAUGUUGCAAUCUAUUACUAUCAGCAGAAUUAUGAGCUUCCUCCCACUGUUCCAGAGCCAAAUAAAAACCUCCUAGGGUUCUGCUCAUUGAGACUCUGA